ACCGUGCUCCCUUGCCGCUUUCGAGCUGCCGCUUUUACGCUCCGGGGAUGAUGCCUUCGCUCCCCACUCCCCGCCACCGAGCUAAUCGCUGCGACGUUAAUUGGCCGUUAAUUGGAUUAAAAGGGUUUCGAAACGAAAGGUGUUUAUUCUUUCUUCGAAUCGAGGAAAUCUUUCGCGUGAUAAUUGUAUACAAGAAGUUUGCCAAGUUUCUUCUCAGUUGUAGUAAGUUUGAUCUUUGACGAAGGAAUGAAGAGAAGAGAAGGAUAAUGGGAAUGGAGAAGGAAGUGAUUAAAGAAAGAAUGUUUGAUGGAAUUAAAUAUAUAUGCACGAAUGGGAGGAAGGAGAAAUGUAUCGAAAUGUCUAUCGAUUUUUGUGAUUAAUUUAUGAUGUAAUAUUGUUAGAAAAAUAUUUGUGGUACUUAUUUCCUUUUUAUUUAUUUAUUUAUUUAUUAUCGUUCGUGUUAAAAAGACGAGGUUAAUUCUUAAAAUAGAGGAUGCUAUAUUAAGUUUUGGCAUGUUAUUGUAUAAAAAAAUUCUAUUUCAUUCAUUUUUAUUGAAUAAAUAUAAUUUCAAUUUCAACGUUUGAAUAUUUAUUUUGUAAAAAUCAUAUAUGGAUCGAUUUUUAUGAUUAAUUUAUGAUAUAAUAUUGUUAGAAAAAUAUUUGUAGUACUUAUUUCCUUUUUAUUUAUUUAUUUAUUUAUUAUCGUGUUAAAGGGACGAGGUUAAUCCUUAAAAUAGAGGAUGCUAUAUUAAUUUUUGGCAUGUUAUUGUAUAAAAAAAUUCUAUUUCAUUCAUUUUUAUUGAAUAAAUAUAAUUUCAAUUUC
This is a long non-coding RNA of Apis cerana (Asiatic honeybee), 823 nucleotides long. RefSeq lists it as uncharacterized. Lineage: Eukaryota; Metazoa; Arthropoda; Insecta; Hymenoptera; Apidae. The record is from RefSeq and is a predicted model, not a curated record.